Molecule: ribosomal RNA, 244 nt
Filed under: uncultured bacterium
Lineage: Bacteria
Description: partial 16S ribosomal RNA
Rfam family: Bacterial small subunit ribosomal RNA
Source: RNAcentral
UACGAAGGGGGCUAGCGUUGCUCGGAAUCACUGGGCGUAAAGCGCACGUAGGCGGAUCGUUAAGUCGGGGGUGAAAUCCUGGAGCUCAACUCCAGAACUGCCUUCGAUACUGGCGAUCUUGAGUCCGGAAGAGGUGAGUGGAACUCCUAGUGUAGAGGUGGAAUUCGUAGAUAUUCGCAAGAACACCAGUGGCGAAGGCGGCUCACUGGCCCGUUACUCGACGCUGAGGCACGAAAGCGUGGGG